GAUGAACGCUGGCGGCGUGCCUAAUACAUGCAAGUCGAGCGAACAGACGAGGAGCUUGCUCCUCUGACGUUAGCGGCGGACGGGUGAGUAAAACGUGGAUAACCUACCUAUAAGACUGGGAUAACUUCGGGAAACCGGAGCUAAUACCGGAUAAUAUAUUGAACUGCAUGGUUCAAUAGUGAACGACGGUUUUGCUGUCACUUAUAGAUGGAUCCGCGCCGCAUUAGCUAGUUGGUAAGGUAACGGCUUACCAAGGCAACGGUGCGUAGCCGACCUGAGAGGGUGGUCGGCCACACUGGAACUGAGACCCGGUCCAGAGUCCUACAGGAGGCAGCAGUAGGGAAUCUUCCGCGAUGGGCGAAUGCCUGACAGAGCAACACCGCGUGAGUGAUGAAGGUCUUCGGAUCGUAAAACUCUGUUAUUAGGGAAGAACAAAUGUGUAAGUAACUAUGCACGUCUUGACGGUACCUAAUCAGAAAGCCACGGCUAACUACGUG
RNAcentral lists this ribosomal RNA (497 nucleotides) under uncultured bacterium. RNAcentral describes it as "partial 16S ribosomal RNA". It matches the Rfam family "Bacterial small subunit ribosomal RNA", at positions 28 to 507 of the family's 1533-position model. The record is from RNAcentral.